This 427-nucleotide ribosomal RNA is filed under the name uncultured bacterium. RNAcentral describes it as "bacterial SSU rRNA". It matches the Rfam family "Bacterial small subunit ribosomal RNA", at positions 355 to 774 of the family's 1533-position model. The record is from RNAcentral.
UGGGGAAUUUUGGACAAUGGGCGAAAGCCUGAUCCAGCCAUGCCGCGUGCAGGAUGAAGGCCUUCGGGUUGUAAACUGCUUUUGUACGGAACGAGAAGACUCCUUCUAAUAAAGGGGGUCCAUGACGGUACCGUAAGAAUAAGCACCGGCUAACUACGUGCCAGCAGCCGCGGUAAUACGUAGGGUGCGAGCGUUAAUCGGAAUUACUGGGCGUAAAGCGUGCGCAGGCGGUUAUAUAAGACAGUUGUGAAAUCCCCGGGCUCAACCUGGGAACUGCAUCUGUGACUGUAUAGCUAGAGUACGGUAGAGGGGGAUGGAAUUCCGCGUGUAGCAGUGAAAUGCGUAGAUAUGCGGAGGAACACCGAUGGCGAAGGCAAUCCCCUGGACCUGUACUGACGCUCAUGCACGAAAGCGUGGGGAGCAAACA